UACGUAGGGGGCAAGCGUUGUCCGGAUUUAUUGGGCGUAAAGAGCGUGUAGGCGGCUAGGUAGGUCCGCUGUGAAAACUCGAGGCUCAACCUCGAGACGUCGGUGGAAACCAUCUGGCUAGAGUCCGGAAGAGGAGAGUGGAAUUCCCGGUGUAGCGGUGAAAUGCGCAGAUAUCGGGAAGAACACCCGUGGCGAAAGCGGCUCUCUGGGACGGUACUGACGCUGAGACGCGAAAGCGUGGGGAGCGAACAGG
This 253-nucleotide ribosomal RNA is filed under the name uncultured bacterium. RNAcentral describes it as "partial 16S ribosomal RNA". It matches the Rfam family "Bacterial small subunit ribosomal RNA", at positions 524 to 776 of the family's 1533-position model. The record is from RNAcentral.